GGGAGGUAGUGACAAUAAAUAACAAUACGGGGUUCUUUCGGAUUUCGUAAUUGGAAUGAGUACAAUUUAAAUCUCUUAACGAGGAACAAUUGGAGGGCAAGUCUGGUGCCAGCAGCCGCGGUAAUUCCAGCUCCAAUAGCGUAUAUUAAAGUUGUUGCAGUUAAAAAGCUCGUAGUUGAAUUUCGGGAUCAAUUUAUCGGUCGUGCCUACGGUAUGAACUGGUACAAUUGGUUUCUCCCUUCUGACGAAGCAUGAUGCCAUUAAUUUGGUGUCGUGGGGAAUCAGGACUGUUACUUUGAAAAAAAUUAGAGUGUUUAAAGCAAGCAUUAGCUUGAAUACAUUAGCAUGGAAUAAUGAAAUAGGACGUUUGAUCCUAUUUCGUUGGUUUCUAGGAUCGACGUAAUGAUUAAUAGGGAUAGUUGGG
Molecule: ribosomal RNA, 424 nt
Filed under: uncultured Glomeraceae
Lineage: Eukaryota; Fungi; Glomeromycota; Glomeromycetes; Glomerales; Glomeraceae
Description: SSU rRNA
Rfam family: Eukaryotic small subunit ribosomal RNA
Source: RNAcentral